UACGGAGGAUCCGAGCGUUAUCCGGAUUUAUUGGGUUUAAAGGGUGCGUAGGCGGGAGAUUAAGUCGGUGGUGAAAUUUUGCAGCUCAACUGUAAAAGUGCCAUUGAUACUGGUUUCCUUGAGUGUGGAUGAAGUAGGCGGAAUUUGUGGUGUAGCGGUGAAAUGCAUAGAUAUCACGAGGAACUCCGAUUGCGUAGGCAGCUUACUAAACCAUAACUGACGCUCAGGCACGAAGGCGUGGGGAUCGAACAGGAUUAGAUACUCCGGUA
This 269-nucleotide ribosomal RNA is filed under the name uncultured prokaryote. RNAcentral describes it as "partial 16S ribosomal RNA". It matches the Rfam family "Bacterial small subunit ribosomal RNA", at positions 524 to 792 of the family's 1533-position model. The record is from RNAcentral.